GUAACGCGUAUGCAAUCUACCCUUUACUGGAGAAUAGCCCGGAGAAAUUCGGAUUAAUGCUCCAUAUGCUCGUAGGAUCUCCUGAUCCAGCGAGGAAAGCUCCGGCGGUAAAGGAUGAGCAUGCGUCCCAUUAGCUAGUUGGUGAGGUAGUGGCUCACCAAGGCGACGACGGGUAGCCGGCCUGAGAGGGCGACCGGCCACACUGGGACUGAGACACGGCCCAGACUCC
This 229-nucleotide ribosomal RNA is filed under the name uncultured bacterium. RNAcentral's name for it is "partial 16S ribosomal RNA". It matches the Rfam family "Bacterial small subunit ribosomal RNA", at positions 110 to 339 of the family's 1533-position model. The record is from RNAcentral.